This 460-nucleotide ribosomal RNA is filed under the name uncultured bacterium. Its description in RNAcentral is "partial 16S ribosomal RNA". It matches the Rfam family "Bacterial small subunit ribosomal RNA", at positions 338 to 795 of the family's 1533-position model. The record is from RNAcentral.
CCUACGGGUGGCAGCAGUGAGGAAUAUUGGUCAAUGGGCGGAAGCCUGAACCAGCCAAGUAGCGUGCAGGAUGACGGCCCUACGGGUUGUAAACUGCUUUUAUACGGGAAUAACGCGCCUUACGUGUAGGGCUUUGCAUGUACCGUAUGAAUAAGGACCGGCUAAGUACGUGCCAGCAGCCGCGGUAAUACGGAAGGGCCGGGCGUUAUCCGGAUUUAUGGGGGUUAAAGGGAGCGUAGGCCGCAUGUCAAGCGUGCUGUGAAAUGUCCGGGCUCAACCCGGGCCUUGAAGCGCGAACUGGCGUGCUUGAGUCCGCGGAAAGCAGGCGGAAUUCGUCGUGUAGCGGUGAAAUGCUUAGAUAUGACGAAGAACCCCGAUUGCGAAGGCAGCUUGCUGCAGCGGAACUGACGCUGAUGCUCGAAAGCGCGGGUAUCGAACAGGAUUAGAUACCCCUGUAGUC